GAAUCGGAACCCAUUUCAAGAGCCUGCCCAAUGAGUGCUUCCAACUGUUCCACUCUUUGGCGCAAUUCCGUAUUUGUGCCACCAGCCAUGUUCUCAAACAGCAACACGUAAUCUGCUACUGAUCGUCUUACCACCGCUACGAACUUUGCUCUACUCUGAUAUUAGUUUAUCAGGGUAGCUCUGAUACCAGCUUGUCACAGGGUCAAAUUGGGCCAAUUUUUCGCGCCUAAUUGACACUGCGCGGCAGCAACCUGACACUCAAGUUACUCAGCCUUUUCCAACACUUGGCCAACUUUUUAACAAGUUCGGCCUUAAGCAAAAUUCGAUAGCAACAUAAAGAGAACACAAUCAAGUACGGGAAAAUCCCAACCUUUGUAUUAAUAUGAAAAUAUACAAAGGACCCCUCACUUUGCUAUGAACACAAGUCGUUCAUAGCCCACUUCGACCAGCCAAGAUCACAAGUCGAUCUUGUCACACUAAGACCUGCCCAAAUGCCCAGCCUUAGCCCACUUUUGAAACACUCAGAAACCCUCACGUUUCUUUCUUGUUUCCCACUUUACUAUGAACAUNNNNNNNNNNNNNNNNNNNNNNNNNUCUUAGCCGCAUUCCUGCCUCGUAUUUGUCAACACUUGUUUCACCCAUGCCAUUGUUUGUAUCUUGUCUCACAUAGCUUUGCCUUAGCUAUUGAAACCCUUUGCCAUCAUUCCGUGCCCCCGCAAUUUAGCUUAGCUUGUACUUGGUGCUCCCACAAUCCGAACUGCCCGUACCUUUGUCUUUGGCGCGCAUGCCGCUUCAUGCCACCCAAACGUGUCCGCACUGCCUCGACAAGCCUUUGCCAAACUUGUCUUGCCUGUCCCAAGACUUUGGCCAAUACUUGUUCCCCUUGAUAAUGUUUCUCGUCCAUUGUCCCGCAUGAUCGUUUCGCUCCCGCAUAGGCCCAUGGCAAGGCCAUCAUGCCUCAAUCCUUGCCACUGCCGCGCCAUAUCUGAUGACAAAGAAUCAGGUCCUAACAAACCACCCGCACCCUUUGAAAUCGAUGUCCUCGUCGAGCCGACUUAACGAAUCAACCCCAAGGGGUUGUUCACAUACAACUCCCCUGUAGGUGCAUUCACAUUUGCCACAAUGGCAUUUGCUUCCGCCACUUGUUCCUGUCUCUCCGUGGCCAGCAUAACAUUCACUCUAGCCUGCACCGGACAGUCCCUCUUCAAGUGCGGUCCCCCACAAGUGAAGCAGCCACUGAAUUUGCCGCUUCUGUCCUUGCCCUUGGAAGUCUCUGUCUGCCUUCCAUUCUUGGCAAGACCCACGUCUUCGACAGCUUGGCCUUUCCCACUUUUCUUCCAUUCCUUUCCCUUGUCCUUCCUUCUGUCGGACUUUGAAUGCGAAGACUCAGCAGGGUCAUGACCUAUAUUGAGGUCAGCCAACGCAUCUGCCGCUGCAAUAGCAAUAGAGAGGCUUUGAACAUUCUGCCUUCUCAACUCUAAUUGCGCCCAGCCCUUCAACCCACUCAUGAACUAAUGCAGCUUGUCUUCUUCUGCCAUGUUACUUACAUUGAGCAUCAAGGAUGAAAAUUCCUUGACAUACUCCCUUACCGUACCACUUUGUUUCAAGUGGCGCAGUCCGUCUCUCGCCACCCACGACGAGUUGGUUGGAAGGAAUUGGGAUUUUAAUUCCUUCUUCAACGUCUCCUAAGUUUCAAUCUUGGGCAGUCCAGCACUUUCCGCUUCUACUACUCGUGUACGCCACCAUACCUUUGCAUCAUCCGUCAAAUACAUCGGUGUGAUGGUCACUUUUUCAUCAUUCGGCACACGAGCAGCUAGGAAAUACUGCUCCGUAUCCCACAAGAAAUUUUCCAGUUCUUUGGCACUUCUUGCACCGCCAUAAGCCUUUGGCUCCGGGAUCCUCACUUUGGUGCGAUCAUUGUUUCUAGGGGCAUUAUUUUGUAACGCCCUUCGAAGUUGAACCACCUCCUCGCGCAGUUCUUCCUCAUCCUUGCGUACCAAGGCCAUUUCUGCCAGCGUAGUCUCAUACCUCGCUGCAUAAUCUGCCUCUAGGCGGGCCAUUCUCGCAAGAACAGAAGAAUCGGAACCCAUUUCAAGAGCCUGCCCAAUGAGUACUUCCAACUGUUCCACUCUUUGGCGCAGUUCCGUAUUUGUGCCACCAGCCAUGUUCUCAAACAGCAACACGUAAUCUGCUACUGAUCGUCUUACCACCGCUACGAACUUUGCUCUACUCUGAUAUUAGUUUAUCAGGGUAGCUCUGAUACCAGCUUGUCACAGGGUCAAAUUGGGCCAAUUUUUCGCGCCUAAUUGACACUGCGCGGCAGCAACCUGACACUCAAGUUACUCAGCCUUUUCCAACACUUGGCCAACUUUUCAACAAGUUCGGCCUUAAGCAAAAUUCGAUAGCAACAUAAAGAGAACACAAUCAAGUACGGGAAAAUCCCAACCUUUGUAUUACUAUGAAAAUAUACAAAGGACCCCUCACUUUGCUAUGAACACAAGUCGUUCAUAGCCCACUUCGACCAGCCAAGAUCACAAGUCGAUCUUGUCACACUAAGACCUGCCC
RNAcentral lists this long non-coding RNA (2565 nucleotides) under Nicotiana tabacum (common tobacco). RNAcentral's name for it is "long non-coding RNA (NTAB_LNC013883)". The record is from RNAcentral. Lineage: Eukaryota; Viridiplantae; Streptophyta; Magnoliopsida; Solanales; Solanaceae.